CUACGGGACGCUCCAGUGGGGAAUAUUGCACAAUGGGCGCAAGCCUGAUGCAGCCAUGCCGCGUGUAUGAAGAAGGCCUUCGGGUUGUAAAGUACUUUCAGUAGGGAGGAAGGUGGUUAAGUUAAUACCUUAAUCAUUUGACGUUACCUACAGAAGAAGCACCGGCUAACUCCGUGCCAGCAGCCGCGGUAAUACGGAGGGUGCAAGCGUUAAUCGGAAUUACUGGGCGUAAAGCGCAUGCAGGUGGUUUGUUAAGUCAGAUGUGAAAGCCCUGGGCUCAACCUAGGAAUCGCAUUUGAAACUGACAAGCUAGAGUACUGUAGAGGGGGGUAGAAUUUCAGGUGUAGCGGUGAAAUGCGUAGAGAUCUGAAGGAAUACCGGUGGCGAAGGCGGCCCCCUGGACAGAUACUGACACUCAGAUGCGAAAGCGUGGGGAGCAAACAGGAUUAGAUACCCUAGUAGUC
Molecule: ribosomal RNA, 464 nt
Filed under: uncultured bacterium
Lineage: Bacteria
Description: partial 16S ribosomal RNA
Rfam family: Bacterial small subunit ribosomal RNA
Source: RNAcentral